CGCAGGCUGUAGAUCAAGUCAGCUGUGAAAUGUCUGGGCUUAACCCGGGCAUGCGGUUGAAACUGAUGUACUGGAGUGCUGUAGAGGCAAGUGGAAUUCCCAGUGUAGCGGUGAAAUGCGUAGAUAUUGGGAAGAACACCGGUGGCGAAGGCGACUUGCUGGGCAGCAACUGACGCUGAGGCGCGAAAGCCAGGGGAGCAAACGG
This 205-nucleotide ribosomal RNA is filed under the name uncultured Synergistaceae bacterium. RNAcentral's name for it is "partial 16S ribosomal RNA". It matches the Rfam family "Bacterial small subunit ribosomal RNA", at positions 570 to 775 of the family's 1533-position model. Lineage: Bacteria; Thermotogati; Synergistota; Synergistia; Synergistales; Synergistaceae. The record is from RNAcentral.